UAAGCAGAGUAUGAAAAUAUCACGGCUCAACCGUGAAAACGUAUUCUGAACUGACAAACUAGAGGAUGAGAGAGGUUAUUGGAAUUUCUUGUGUAGGAGUGAAAUCCGUAGAUAUAAGAAGGAACACCGGAUGGCGUAGGCAGAUAACUGGCUCAUACCUGACACUGAGGCACGAAAGCGUGGGGAGCGAACGGGAUUAGAUACCCCGGUAGUCCACGCCGUAAACGAUGGAUGCUA
Molecule: ribosomal RNA, 237 nt
Filed under: uncultured Candidatus Saccharibacteria bacterium
Lineage: Bacteria; Candidatus Saccharimonadota
Description: partial 16S ribosomal RNA
Rfam family: Bacterial small subunit ribosomal RNA
Source: RNAcentral